RNAcentral lists this long non-coding RNA (228 nucleotides) under Glycine max (soybean). RNAcentral describes it as "long non-coding RNA (GMAX_LNC000131)". Lineage: Eukaryota; Viridiplantae; Streptophyta; Magnoliopsida; Fabales; Fabaceae. The record is from RNAcentral.
UCUGAAAUAUCCUGUAAUCAAAGAUGUUCUGCGAAUAUUAUGAUAAUUCAUGACUCAUAUUUACAAACUAAGUCAGCAACUGAAUUUUGGAAAUGAUCAAACAUAAAUGCGAGAAGAAAAUUCUGGAAUCUGAAAAUCCUCAAUGUCAUACUUCUAUCAGACAAGAGUUCAAUGUUUUAAACUGUAAAUUAAGCCUAUGGUUUCAAUGCAUAACCACAUAACCAGCCC